RNAcentral lists this ribosomal RNA (1436 nucleotides) under uncultured organism. RNAcentral describes it as "SSU rRNA". It matches the Rfam family "Bacterial small subunit ribosomal RNA". The record is from RNAcentral.
GCUUAACACAUGCAAGUCGAGGGGCAGCAUGGUCUUAGCUUGCUAAGGCCGAUGGCGACCGGCGCACGGGUGAGUAACGCGUAUCCAACCUGCCUUACACUCUUGGACAGCCUUCUGAAAGGGAGAUUAAUACAAGAUGUUAUCAUGAGUAAGCAUUUUCGCAUGAUUAAAGGUUUACCGGUGUAAGAUGGGGAUGCGUUCCAUUAGAUAGUAGGCGGGGUAACGGCCCACCUAGUCUUCGAUGGAUAGGGGUUCUGAGAGGAAGGUCCCCCACAUUGGAACUGAGACACGGUCCAAACUCCUACGGGAGGCAGCAGUGAGGAAUAUUGGUCAAUGGGCGAGAGCCUGAACCAGCCAAGUAGCGUGAAGGAUGACUGCCCUAUGGGUUGUAAACUUCUUUUAUAAAGGAAUAAAGUCGGGUAUGGAUACCCGUUUGCAUGUACUUUAUGAAUAAGGAUCGGCUAACUCCGUGCCAGCAGCCGCGGUAAUACGGAGGAUCCGAGCGUUAUCCGGAUUUAUUGGGUUUAAAGGGAGCGUAGAUGGAUGUUUAAGUCAGUUGUGAAAGUUUGCGGCUCAACCGUAAAAUUGCAGUUGAUACUGGAUAUCUUGAGUGCAGUUGAGGCAGGCGGAAUUCGUGGUGUAGCGGUGAAAUGCUUAGAUAUCACGAAGAACUCCGAUUGCGAAGGCAGCCUGCUAAGCUGCAACUGACAUUGAGGCUCGAAAGUGUGGGUAUCAAACAGGAUUAGAUACCCUGGUAGUCCACACGGUAAACGAUGAAUACUCGCUGUUUGCGAUAUACUGCAAGCGGCCAAGCGAAAGCGUUAAGUAUUCCACCUGGGGAGUACGCCGGCAACGGUGAAACUCAAAGGAAUUGACGGGGGCCCGCACAAGCGGAGGAACAUGUGGUUUAAUCCGAUGAUACGCGAGGAACCUUACCCGGGCUUAAAUUGCAGAUGAAUUACGGUGAAAGCCGUAAGCCGCAAGGCAUCUGUGAAGGUGCUGCAUGGUUGUCGUCAGCUCGUGCCGUGAGGUGUCGGCUUAAGUGCCAUAACGAGCGCAACCCUUGUUGUCAGUUACUAACAGGUUCCGCUGAGGACUCUGACAAGACUGCCAUCGUAAGAUGUGAGGAAGGUGGGGAUGACGUCAAAUCAGCACGGCCCUUACGUCCGGGGCUACACACGUGUUACAAUGGGGGGUACAGAGGGCCGCUACCACGCGAGUGGAUGCCAAUCCCCAAAACCUCUCUCAGUUCGGACUGGAGUCUGCAACCCGACUCCACGAAGCUGGAUUCGCUAGUAAUCGCGCAUCAGCCACGGCGCGGUGAAUACGUUCCCGGGCCUUGUACACACCGCCCGUCAAGCCAUGGGAGCCGGGGGUACCUGAAGUGCGUAACCGCGAGGAGCGCCCUAGGGUAAAACUGGUGACUGGGGCUAAGA